This 104-nucleotide transfer RNA is filed under the name Microdochium trichocladiopsis. It matches the Rfam family "tRNA". Rfam says of the family: Transfer RNA (tRNA) molecules are approximately 80 nucleotides in length. Their secondary structure includes four short double-helical elements and three loops (D, anti-codon, and T loops). Further hydrogen bonds mediate the characteristic L-shaped molecular structure. tRNAs have two regions of fundamental functional importance: the anti-codon, which is responsible for specific mRNA codon recognition, and the 3' end, to which the tRNAs corresponding amino acid is attached (by aminoacyl-tRNA synthetases). tRNAs cope with the degeneracy of the genetic code in two manners: having more than one tRNA (with a specific anti-codon) for a particular amino acid; and 'wobble' base-pairing, i.e. permitting non-standard base-pairing at the 3rd anti-codon position. Lineage: Eukaryota; Fungi; Ascomycota; Sordariomycetes; Xylariales; Microdochiaceae. The record is from Rfam by way of RNAcentral.
GGUCUCGUGGCCCAAUGGCAAGGCGUCUGACUACGACGGACCAUGAUUCAAACAUGGUUUAUCCUGAAAUCAGGAGAUUCUGGGUUCGAUCCCCAGCGAGAUCA